UGAAGCUUGAAGUAUCUGUGCAGGCUCCUCGCUGGGUGGCGAUGUUUCCCGCACUGAAACCGGACUUCUAGACUAUCUAGCCCUCAAGCUAAUUUAGAGCAGCUAUUUCUUUCUUAGUUUUAUUGAUUUAUUUAUAUUCUCACCACAGUGUGGACGUUCACAUAUCAUAUAUUAAAACCACAAAUUUAAAAUUAUUACAAAAUUAUUAAAGCUCUAGAAUCAAUAUUCACUAACAAAAGAAGCGAGAAUGUGAGUGAGAAGCUGGCGAAUGAGAAGCGACCUUCAGCUGGUCUGAGUCCUCCUCCCUCCUCCAGCUUAAAGCGGAGAAGACACUGGUGUAGAGCUAGCUUAGCUUAACUAACUACAGUAGCUACUAGCUAGUUACAAUACCGCUGUGCUAAGGCGACAAAAAAGGGCAUAUUUACUAUAUUUUCUUAGUUUAGGCUUUCUUUUUGAACCCCCUCAACCUCCUCCUUCUUCACCAGCCAGCACUCACUCUUAGCGGGGCUGUGACUGCCCCCCCUGAGCGCUGGCGGCGCUACGGAGAUCUGCUCCACAUUUGCCCGCCUCGGAGAGCAGGGAGACCGGACACACGAAACAACAGGCAGCGGUGUACGAGCCGAGCACAAGCGCCGGGCUGCCAAAUGCACGAAUUUACCCUCCUACUUUUUCUUUUCAUCGCUGUGGAUUGUAAAUUCUCACACUCAGCCGGAAUGCUCACUGCUGGAUUUUAUUUUUGACCGGUUUUAAAUGUUUUUCACCCUCCGUUUUCACCGCCAAGAGGCCCCGCGGAUUGUAGCGACGUGUAGCCGCCUCGGGGCGACCGUAUCGGGGAUGAAGUCUCGCUGGGGCUCGCUGUGGGCGGUUUGAGUCAGGAACUCCCCCACCUCCACCACUCACACUAGCUAAAUUUCCAGUCGUUUUGUAUUCAUUUCUCACAUCGGAAAGAAAAUAUUUGCCACGUUUCUUCAAACCUGGACACCCCUGGAACAGUUUAUGACGGGUUCCAGAAUUGUGAUUGUUGAGUUGCAAAGUGAAGGGAGGAGACCUGCCCAAGAAGAGACCUGCCCAUUACUGGGAAUAGUAGUAAUGUCGUCAUUUAGUCCGGUUCUAUCUGCCUUUCUACACAAACCUUCCCGAGGUGUUACAGAAUGGAUGAUUAGCAGCCUUGUCAUGUCCUGUCAGCACCUGUGAAGUGAGGCAAUAAUGCGUAUUAUAUAUUGUCUGGUGAAAAAGUGGCACAAGCUGUUUACAGUAAUUACUGUUACCUUACAGAAAAAAAGAGUCAGUACUGUACUGUAGUUGUAAUACUGUAAGUAGGCCUG
Molecule: long non-coding RNA, 1325 nt
Filed under: Astyanax mexicanus (Mexican tetra)
Lineage: Eukaryota; Metazoa; Chordata; Actinopteri; Characiformes; Acestrorhamphidae
Description: lncRNA (ENSAMXG00005014848.1)
Source: RNAcentral